Molecule: ribosomal RNA, 465 nt
Filed under: Vreelandella stevensii
Lineage: Bacteria; Pseudomonadati; Pseudomonadota; Gammaproteobacteria; Oceanospirillales; Halomonadaceae
Description: partial 16S ribosomal RNA
Rfam family: Bacterial small subunit ribosomal RNA
Source: RNAcentral
CCUACGGGCGGCAGCAGUGGGGAAUAUUGGACAAUGGGGGGAACCCUGAUCCAGCCAUGCCGCGUGUGUGAAGAAGGCCCUCGGGUUGUAAAGCACUUUCAGUGAGGAAGAACGCCUGGUGGUUAAUACCCAUCAGGAAAGACAUCACUCACAGAAGAAGCACCGGCUAACUCCGUGCCAGCAGCCGCGGUAAUACGGAGGGUGUGAGCGUUAAUCGGAAUUACUGGGCGUAAAGCGCGCGUAGGUGGCUUGAUAAGCCGGUUGUGAAAGCCCCGGGCUCAACCUGGGAACGGCAUCCGGAACUGUCAAGCUUGAGUGCAGGAGAGGAAGGUAGAAUUCCCGGUGUAGCGGUGAAAUGCGUAGAGAUCGGGAGGAAUACCAGUGGCGAAGGCGGCCUUCUGGACUGACUCUGACACUGAGGUGCGAAAGCGUGGGUAGCAAACAGGAUUAGAUACCCUUGUAGUC